AACGCACCUUGCACCGUAUCAGUAAUGACACGGUAUACCUGUUUGAGAAUCGUAAACAUCCUCAUCUACACUCUCUUUUGCGUGUGGGUGGACGUGUCGGUUCAAUAGCAAUACUGUCCGAUUAAAUAGAGUAGGUCUGGAACAGGCUAGUGGCCUGGGACACUGUGUGCUAGAGACUUUGGUUCAGCAAUGAGCCCUGUCUUCUCACGGUGCGUCUCGGGUCAUUUAAAGCUAGCCUGGAAAGGUCCUUAACUGCGUCAAGCCUUCGUGCUUGAGCAACCCCCUCUCUUUGAUCUCAAAUCAGGUAAGGCUACCCGCUGAACUUAA
This 327-nucleotide unclassified non-coding RNA is filed under the name uncultured Rozellomycota. RNAcentral's name for it is "uncultured Cryptomycota sequence contains ITS2". Lineage: Eukaryota; Fungi; Rozellomycota. The record is from RNAcentral.